Molecule: ribosomal RNA, 587 nt
Filed under: uncultured bacterium
Lineage: Bacteria
Description: partial 16S ribosomal RNA
Rfam family: Bacterial small subunit ribosomal RNA
Source: RNAcentral
UGGGGAAUAUUGGACAAUGGGCGCAAGCCUGAUCCAGCAAUGCCGCGUGUGUGAAGAAGGCCUUCGGGUUGUAAAGCACUUUUAUCAGGAGCGAAACGCUGUCGGCUAAUACCCGGCGGAACUGACGGUACCUGAGGAAUAAGCACCGGCUAACUUCGUGCCAGCAGCCGCGGUAAUACGAAGGGUGCAAGCGUUAAUCGGAAUUACUGGGCGUAAAGCGUGCGUAGGCGGUUUCUUAAGUCUGCUGUGAAAUCCCCGGGCUCAACCUGGGAAUGGCAGUGGAUACUGGGAGGCUAGAGUGUGUCAGAGGGUGGUGGAAUUCCCGGUGUAGCGGUGAAAUGCGUAGAGAUCGGGAGGAACAUCAGUGGCGAAGGCGGCCACCUGGGACAACACUGACGCUGAGGCACGAAAGCGUGGGGAGCAAACAGGAUUAGAUACCCUGGUAGUCCACGCCCUAAACGAUGCGAACUGGAUGUUGGUCUCAACUCGGAGAUCAGUGUCGAAGCUAACGCGUUAAGUUCGCCGCCUGGGGGAGUACGGUCGCAAGACUGAAACUCAAAGGAAUUGACGGGGUCAUAGCUGUUUCC